GUCGGGGGAGGGGAGCUCAGCCCAGAUUGUAAGAGGGUGCAGGCCAGGCUGAGGGACCCCAUUGGUGCACA
RNAcentral lists this microRNA precursor (71 nucleotides) under Myotis davidii. Its description in RNAcentral is "mir-9193 microRNA precursor family". It matches the Rfam family "mir-9193 microRNA precursor family". Lineage: Eukaryota; Metazoa; Chordata; Mammalia; Chiroptera; Vespertilionidae. The record is from Rfam by way of RNAcentral.